Molecule: non-coding RNA, 237 nt
Filed under: Ureibacillus manganicus
Lineage: Bacteria; Bacillati; Bacillota; Bacilli; Caryophanales; Caryophanaceae
Description: Lysinibacillus manganicus T-box sequence
Rfam family: T-box leader
About the family: Uncharged tRNA acts as the effector for transcription antitermination of genes in the T-box leader family. T-boxes are found upstream of many aminoacyl-tRNA synthetase genes and some amino acid biosynthetic genes usually in Gram-positive bacteria.
Source: RNAcentral
AAUUUGCCAAUGACCGAGAAAGUAGCAAUUACCUAUGCUGAUAAGAGAGGGAGAGACUUAGGCUGAAAUCUUUCCUGCAGUAAGUAAAUGUGAACAACACUUGAGAGGCUUUCCUUCGAAAUGUUUAAAACUUAGUAGGGGGGAACGGAAUCGGCCGUUAUCCGAUUAUGAGAGGAUGUACUAUUUAGUACAUCAACUAGGGUGGAACCGCGGAAGUUACUAGCUUUCGUCCCUUGC